UGAGUGGCGAACGGGUGAGUAACACGUGAGUAACCUGCCCUCUUCUUUGGGAUAACGCCCGGAAACGGGUGCUAAUACUGGAUAUUCACUGGCCUUCGCAUGGGGGUUGGUGGAAAGGUUUGUUCUGGUGGGGGAUGGGCUCGCGGCCUAUCAGCUUGUUGGUGGGGUGAUGGCCUACCAAGGCUUUGACGGGUAGCCGGCCUGAGAGGGUGACCGGUCACAUUGGGACUGAGAUACGGCCCAG
RNAcentral lists this ribosomal RNA (244 nucleotides) under uncultured bacterium. Its description in RNAcentral is "partial 16S ribosomal RNA". It matches the Rfam family "Bacterial small subunit ribosomal RNA", at positions 92 to 334 of the family's 1533-position model. The record is from RNAcentral.